CCUACUUGCUUCCUCAGUGGUUCAUAUUUCUCCCUGUGCGCAACCCUGAUGCAGCGACGCCGCGUGAGUGAAGACGUAAUUCGUUAUGUAAAGCUCUAUCAGCAGGGAAGAAAAUGACGGUACCUGAGUAAGAAGCCCCGGCUAACUACGUGCCAGCAGCCGCGGUAAUACGUAGGGGGCAAGCGUUAUCCGGAUUUACUGGGUGUAAAGGGAGCGUAGACGGCAGUGCAAGUCUGGAGUGAAAGGCGGGGGCUCAACCCCCGGACUGCUCUGGAAACUGUACGGCUGGAGUGCAGGAGAGGUAAGUGGAAUUCGUAGUGUAGCGGUGAAAUGCGUAGAUAUUAGGAAGAACACCAGUGGCGAAGGCAGCUUACUGGACUGUAACUGACGUUGAGGCUCGAAAGCGUGGGGAGCAAACAGGAUUAGAUACCCUGGUAGUC
RNAcentral lists this ribosomal RNA (440 nucleotides) under uncultured bacterium. RNAcentral's name for it is "partial 16S ribosomal RNA". It matches the Rfam family "Bacterial small subunit ribosomal RNA", at positions 338 to 795 of the family's 1533-position model. The record is from RNAcentral.